This 254-nucleotide ribosomal RNA is filed under the name uncultured bacterium. RNAcentral describes it as "partial 16S ribosomal RNA". It matches the Rfam family "Bacterial small subunit ribosomal RNA", at positions 99 to 354 of the family's 1533-position model. The record is from RNAcentral.
CGGACGGGUGAGUAACGCGUGGGUAACCUGCCCCAUAGAGGGGACAACAGCUGGAAACGGCUGCUAAUACCGCAUAGCAGGGAAGAGACGCAUGUCUUUUCCUUCAAAGAUUUAUCGCUAUGGGAUGGACCCGCGUCUGAUUAGCUAGUUGGUAGGGUAACGGCCUACCAAGGCGACGAUCAGUAGCCGGCUUGAGAGAGUGGACGGCCACAUUGGGACUGAGACACGGCCCAGACUCCUACGGAAGGCAGCAG